Molecule: ribosomal RNA, 253 nt
Filed under: uncultured bacterium
Lineage: Bacteria
Description: partial 16S ribosomal RNA
Rfam family: Bacterial small subunit ribosomal RNA
Source: RNAcentral
UACGGAGGGGGCGAGCGUUGUUCGGAAUCAUUGGGCGUAAAGCGCGUGGAGGCGGCUUGGCAAGUCGGGUGUGAAAUCCCGGGGCCCAACCCCGGAACUGCAUUCGAAACUGCCUCGCUAGAGUCCCGGAGAGGAAGGCGGAAUUCCCGGUGUAGAGGUGAAAUUCGUAGAUAUCGGGAGGAACACCAGCGGCGAAGGCGGCCUUCUGGACGGUGACUGACGAUGAGACGCGAAAGCGUGGGGAGCAAACAGG